Molecule: unclassified non-coding RNA, 218 nt
Filed under: Ascomycota sp.
Lineage: Eukaryota; Fungi; Ascomycota
Description: partial contains small subunit ribosomal RNA, internal transcribed spacer 1, and 5.8S ribosomal RNA
Rfam family: Eukaryotic small subunit ribosomal RNA (bases 1-47)
Source: RNAcentral
AAAGUCGUAACAAGGUCUCCGUUGGUGAACCAGCGGAGGGAUCAUUACCGAGUACUACAACUCAUAACCCUUUGUGAACCAUCAUACCUGUUGCUUCGGCGGCGCCCCCGAGAGGGGGUGCCCGCCGGCCUACAGAAUCUCUGUUUUCGAACCCGACGAUACUUCUGAGUGUUCUUAGCGAACUGUCAAAACUUUCAACAACGGAUCUCUUGGUUCUG